GAAAUGUAAAGAAAAUAUAAAAGCUGCUAACUUUUUAUAAUAGCGGUUAAAAUCCGUUAACAUUUCUUCU
RNAcentral lists this transfer RNA (70 nucleotides) under Euchorthippus unicolor. Its description in RNAcentral is "tRNA-Ser". The record is from RNAcentral. Lineage: Eukaryota; Metazoa; Arthropoda; Insecta; Orthoptera; Acrididae.